This 291-nucleotide ribosomal RNA is filed under the name Microkamienskia perpusilla. RNAcentral's name for it is "Glomus perpusillum partial small subunit ribosomal RNA". It matches the Rfam family "Eukaryotic small subunit ribosomal RNA", at positions 569 to 864 of the family's 1831-position model. The record is from RNAcentral. Lineage: Eukaryota; Fungi; Glomeromycota; Glomeromycetes; Glomerales; Glomeraceae.
AGCAGCCGCGGUAAUUCCAGCUCCAAUAGCGUAUAUUAAAGUUGUUGCAGUUAAAAAGCUCGUAGUUGAAUUUCGGGACUAACAGGUUGGUCGCGCCUUUGGUGUGUACUGGCCUAGUUGGUUUCUCCCUUCUGACGAACCACGAUGUCAUUAAUUUGGUGUCGUGGGAAAUCAGGACUGUUACUUUGAAAAAAUUAGAGUGUUUAAAGCAAGCGCUAGCUUGAAUACAUUAGCAUGGAAUAAUGAAAUAGGACGUUUGACCCUAUUUUGUUGGUUUCUAGGAUCGACGUA